Molecule: ribosomal RNA, 555 nt
Filed under: Spectracanthicus immaculatus
Lineage: Eukaryota; Metazoa; Chordata; Actinopteri; Siluriformes; Loricariidae
Description: partial 16S ribosomal RNA
Rfam family: Bacterial large subunit ribosomal RNA
Source: RNAcentral
CAAAAACAUCGCCUCCCGCAAAAAUCAAUGUAUAGGAGGUCCUGCCUGCCCAGUGACUAUAAGUUAAACGGCCGCGGUAUUUUGACCGUGCAAAGGUAGCGCAAUCACUUGUCUUUUAAAUGAAGACCCGUAUGAAUGGUGAAACGAGGGCUUAACUGUCUCCCCCUUCUAGUCAAUGAAAUUGAUCUAUCCGUGCAGAAGCGGGUAUAAUGAUACAAGACGAGAAGACCCUUUGGAGCUUAAGACAAAAGACCAACUAUGUCAAAAGUCCUAAAAAAGACUAAACCAAAUAGUACUGGUCUUAAUCUUCGGUUGGGGUGACCACGGGAGAAAACAAAGCUCCCAUGCGGACUGGGAUUAUCCCCUAAAACUAAGAGAGACAUCUCUAAGACGCAGAAUAUCUGACCACAGAGAUCCGGCUAUACGCCGACCAACGGACCAAGUUACCCUAGGGAUAACAGCGCAAUCCCCUUUCAGAGUCCAUAUCGACAAGGGGGUUUACGACCUCGAUGUUGGAUCAGGACAUCCUAAUGGUGCAGCCGCUAUUAAGGGUUC